AUGAACGCUAGCUACAGGCUUAACACAUGCAAGUCGAGGGGCAGCAUGGUCUUAGCUUGCUAAGGCCGAUGGCGACCGGCGCACGGGUGAGUAACACGUAUCCAACCUGCCGUCUACUCUUGGACAGCCUUCUGAAAGGAAGAUUAAUACAAGAUGGCAUCAUGAGUCCGCAUGUUCACAUGAUUAAAGGUAUUCCGGUAGACGAUGGGGAUGCGUUCCAUUAGAUAGUAGGCGGGGUAACGGCCCACCUAGUCUUCGAUGGAUAGGGGUUCUGAGAGGAAGGUCCCCCACAUUGGAACUGAGACACGGUCCAAACUCCUACGGGAGGCAGCAGUGAGGAAUAUUGGUCAAUGGGCGAGAGCCUGAACCAGCCAAGUAGCGUGAAGGAUGACUGCCCUAUGGGUUGUAAACUUCUUUUAUAAAGGAAUAAAGUCGGGUAUGGAUACCCGUUUGCAUGUACUUUAUGAAUAAGGAUCGGCUAACUCCGUGCCAGCAGCCGCGGUAAUACGGAGGAUCCGAGCGUUAUCCGGAUUUAUUGGGUUUAAAGGGAGCGUAGAUGGAUGUUUAAGUCAGUUGUGAAAGUUUGCGGCUCAACCGUAAAAUUGCAGUUGAUACUGGAUAUCUUGAGUGCAGUUGAGGCAGGCGGAAUUCGUGGUGUAGCGGUGAAAUGCUUAGAUAUCACGAAGAACUCCGAUUGCGAAGGCAGCCUGCUAAGCUGCAACUGACAUUGAGGCUCGAAAGUGUGGGUAUCAAACAGGGUUAGAUACCCUGGUAGUCCACACGGUAAACGAUGAAUACUCGCUGUUUGCGAUAUACUGCAAGCGGCCAAGCGAAAGCGUUAAGUAUUCCACCUGGGGAGUACGCCGGCAACGGUGAAACUCAAAGGAAUUGACGGGGGCCCGCACAAGCGGAGGAACAUGUGGUUUAAUUCGAUGAUACGCGAGGAACCUUACCCGGGCUUAAAUUGCAGAUGAAUUACGGUGAAAGCCGUAAGCCGCAAGGCAUCUGUGAAGGUGCUGCAUGGUUGUCGUCAGCUCGUGCCGUGAGGUGUCGGCUUAAGUGCCAUAACGAGCGCAACCCUUGUUGUCAGUUACUAACAGGUUCCGCUGAGGACUCUGACAAGACUGCCAUCGUAAGAUGUGAGGAAGGUGGGGAUGACGUCAAAUCAGCACGGCCCUUACGUCCGGGGCUACACACGUGUUACAAUGGGGGGUACAGAGGGCCGCUACCACGCGAGUGGAUGCCAAUCCCCAAAACCUCUCUCAGUUCGGACUGGAGUCUGCAACCCGACUCCACGAAGCUGGAUUCGCUAGUAAUCGCGCAUCAGCCACGGCGCGGUGAAUACGUUCCCGGGCCUUGUACACACCGCCCGUCAAGCCAUGGGAGCCGGGGGUACCUGAAGUGCGUAACCGCGAGGAGCGCCCUAGGGUAAAACUGGUGACUGG
Molecule: ribosomal RNA, 1445 nt
Filed under: uncultured organism
Description: SSU rRNA
Rfam family: Bacterial small subunit ribosomal RNA
Source: RNAcentral